This 76-nucleotide transfer RNA is filed under the name Planctomycetota bacterium. RNAcentral's name for it is "Planctomycetes bacterium (activated sludge metagenome) tRNA-Trp". It matches the Rfam family "tRNA". From Rfam's summary of the family: Transfer RNA (tRNA) molecules are approximately 80 nucleotides in length. The record is from RNAcentral. Lineage: Bacteria; Pseudomonadati; Planctomycetota.
ACGGCUGUAGCUCAAUUGGUAGAGCAGCUGAUUCCAAAUCAGCAGGUUGGGGGUUCGAGUCCCUCCGGCCGUGCCA